This 1040-nucleotide ribosomal RNA is filed under the name Acinetobacter sp. Its description in RNAcentral is "bacterial SSU rRNA". It matches the Rfam family "Bacterial small subunit ribosomal RNA", at positions 425 to 1457 of the family's 1533-position model. Lineage: Bacteria; Pseudomonadati; Pseudomonadota; Gammaproteobacteria; Moraxellales; Moraxellaceae. The record is from RNAcentral.
GUAAAGCACUUUAAGCGAGGAGGAGGCUACUUAGAUUAAUACUCUAGGAUAGUGGACGUUACUCGCAGAAUAAGCACCGGCUAACUCUGUGCCAGCAGCCGCGGUAAUACAGAGGGUGCGAGCGUUAAUCGGAUUUACUGGGCGUAAAGCGUGCGUAGGCGGCUUUUUAAGUCGGAUGUGAAAUCCCUGAGCUUAACUUAGGAAUUGCAUUCGAUACUGGGAAGCUAGAGUAUGGGAGAGGAUGGUAGAAUUCCAGGUGUAGCGGUGAAAUGCGUAGAGAUCUGGAGGAAUACCGAUGGCGAAGGCAGCCAUCUGGCCUAAUACUGACGCUGAGGUACGAAAGCAUGGGGAGCAAACAGGAUUAGAUACCCUGGUAGUCCAUGCCGUAAACGAUGUCUACUAGCCGUUGGGGCCUUUGAGGCUUUAGUGGCGCAGCUAACGCGAUAAGUAGACCGCCUGGGGAGUACGGUCGCAAGACUAAAACUCAAAUGAAUUGACGGGGGCCCGCACAAGCGGUGGAGCAUGUGGUUUAAUUCGAUGCAACGCGAAGAACCUUACCUGGUCUUGACAUACAGAGAACUUUCCAGAGAUGGAUUGGUGCCUUCGGGAACUCUGAUACAGGUGCUGCAUGGCUGUCGUCAGCUCGUGUCGUGAGAUGUUGGGUUAAGUCCCGCAACGAGCGCAACCCUUUUCCUUAUUUGCCAGCGGGUUAAGCCGGGAACUUUAAGGAUACUGCCAGUGACAAACUGGAGGAAGGCGGGGACGACGUCAAGUCAUCAUGGCCCUUACGACCAGGGCUACACACGUGCUACAAUGGUCGGUACAAAGGGUUGCUACCUAGCGAUAGGAUGCUAAUCUCAAAAAGCCGAUCGUAGUCCGGAUUGGAGUCUGCAACUCGACUCCAUGAAGUCGGAAUCGCUAGUAAUCGCGGAUCAGAAUGCCGCGGUGAAUACGUUCCCGGGCCUUGUACACACCGCCCGUCACACCAUGGGAGUUUGUUGCACCAGAAGUAGGUAGUCUAACCGCAAGGAGGACGCUAC